CGGGUGCACUGAUCCAGCCGGGCCUUUCCCUCUGUGGAACCCCAUGGCCUUCACUGGCUGUGGUGGGGAAACAGGACUUUUACUUUGAAAAAAUUAGAGUGCUCCAGGCAGGCCUAUGCUCGAAUACAUUAGCAUGGAAUAAUAGAAUAGGACGUGUGGUUCUAUUUUGUUGGUUUCUAGGACCGCCGUAAUGAUUAAUAGGGACAGUCGGGGGCAUCAGUAUUCAAUUGUCAGAGGUGAAAUUCUUGGAUCUAUUGAAGACUAACUACUGCGAAAGCAUUUGCCAAGGAUGUUUUCAUUGAUAAGGAACGAAAGUUAGGGGAUCGAAGACGAUCAGAUACCGUCGUAGUCUUAACUAUAAACUAUGCCGACUAGGGAUCGGACGAUGUUAUUCUUUGACGCGUUCGGGCACCUUUCGAGAAAUCAAAGUGCUUGGGCUCCAGGGGGAGUAUGGUCGCAAGGCUGAAACUUAAAGAAAUUGACGGAAGGGCACCACCCAGGGGGUGGAACCUGCGGCUUAAUUUGACUCAACACGGGGGAAACUCACCAGGUCCAGACACAGUGAGGAUUGACAGAUUGAGAGCUCUUUCUUGAUUCUGUGGGUGGUGGUGCAUGGCCGUUCUUAGUUGGUGGAGUGAUUGUCUGCUUAAUUGCGAUAACGAACGAGACCUUAACUGCUAAAUAGCCCGUACUGCUUUGGCAGUUCGCCGGCUUCUUAGAGGGACUAUCGG
Molecule: ribosomal RNA, 731 nt
Filed under: uncultured eukaryote
Lineage: Eukaryota
Description: SSU rRNA
Rfam family: Eukaryotic small subunit ribosomal RNA
Source: RNAcentral